This 1348-nucleotide ribosomal RNA is filed under the name metagenome. RNAcentral describes it as "SSU rRNA". It matches the Rfam family "Eukaryotic small subunit ribosomal RNA", at positions 528 to 1777 of the family's 1831-position model. The record is from RNAcentral.
AAUCCCUUAUCGAUUAACAAUUAGAGGGCAAGUCUGGUGCCAGCAGCCGCGGUAAUUCCAGCUCUAAUAGCGUAUAUUAAAGUUGUUGCAGUUAAAAAGCUCGUAGUUGGAUUUCGGCGUGCGCUCAGGCUGGUCGGCCGUCAAGGUCUGUACCGUUUGGGUCACGCCCCACUGUAGGAUACUCACCGCUGUCCUUAACUGGGUGGCGGUCAAAGGGGGUGUGCAUGGGGGCAACUCUGUGCAUAUCUCUGGGGUUCCUACUCUUUUACUUUGAGCAAAUUAGAGUGUUCAAAGCAGGCAAUCGAGCCUUGAAUACUUCAGCAUGGGAUAAUGGAACAGGACUGGGGUCCUGAUUUCGUUGGUUUCUGGGAUCUCAGUAAUGAUUAAUAGGGAUAGUUGGGGGCAUUAGUAUUUAAUUGUCAGAGGUGAAAUUCUUGGAUUUAAGAAAGACUAACUUCUGCGAAAGCAUUUGCCAAGGAUGUUUUCAUUAAUCAAGAACGAAAGUUAGGGGAUCGAAGACGAUCAGAUACCGUCGUAGUCUUAACCAUAAACGAUGCCGACCAGCGAUUGGGAGACGUUACAUGGAUGACUCCCCCAGCAGCUUGCGAGAAAUCACAAGUCUUUGGGUUCCGGGGGGAGUAUGGUCGCAAGGCUGAAACUUAAAGGAAUUGACGGAAGGGCACCACCAGGAGUGGAGCCUGCGGCUUAAUUUGACCCAACACGGGGAAACUUACCAGGUCCAGACAUAGUAAGGAUUGACAGAUUUGAGAGCUCUUUCUUGAUUCUAUGGGUGGUGGUGCAUGGCCGUUCUUAGUUGGUGGAGUGAUUUGUCUGGUUAAUUCCGUUAACGAUCGAGACCUUAACCUGCUAAAUAUGUCACUGGUAGACUUCUGCCAAAACAGGUGGGUGUCUAGGGGAAAGUUUCGAUGGACUCCGACGCAUUCAUCUGUGGAUGACUACCAGGAUGUACUUCUUAGAGGGACUAUCUGUAUCAAAGCAGAUGGAAGUUUGAGGCAAUAACAGGUCUGUGAUGCCCUUAGAUGUUCUGGGCCGCACGCGCGCUACACUGACAAGUUCAACGAGUUUAACACCUUGCUCGAUAGGGCUGGGUAAUCUUUGAAAAACUUGUCGUGAUGGGGAUAGAUCAUUGUAAUUAUUGGUCUUCAACGAGGAAUUCCUAGUAAGCGUGAGUCAUCAGCUCGCGUUGAUUACGUCCCUGCCCUUUGUACGCACCGCCCGUCGCUCCUGCCGAUUGAAUGAUCCGGUGAAAUGUUGGGAGCUGGGGUCUUUUGGCGGGGCAACUCGUCGUCAGGGAUUCUGCAAACUUCAUUAAACCUUAUCAUUUAGA